UACCUUGCGCAGUGACAAUAUCGUAACCAAUGAAGGCCUCCUGUGGUGCGAUUAUUGCUGGUUGAAAACUUUUACAAAUUCUUGAAGUGCAUGAAGACUCAUUUUGAACGACAAAUGUCCCAAAGUUAUCUUU
Molecule: small nuclear RNA, 133 nt
Filed under: Rhodnius prolixus
Lineage: Eukaryota; Metazoa; Arthropoda; Insecta; Hemiptera; Reduviidae
Description: U4 spliceosomal RNA
Rfam family: U4 spliceosomal RNA (bases 1-119)
About the family: U4 small nuclear RNA (U4 snRNA) is a component of the major U2-dependent spliceosome.
Source: Rfam by way of RNAcentral